Molecule: non-coding RNA, 481 nt
Filed under: Fusarium solani
Lineage: Eukaryota; Fungi; Ascomycota; Sordariomycetes; Hypocreales; Nectriaceae
Also listed under: 2 other names
Description: sequence contains ITS2, 28S rRNA gene
Rfam family: Eukaryotic large subunit ribosomal RNA
Source: RNAcentral
CAACAGGGAUUGCCCCAGUAACGGCGAGUGAAGCGGCAACAGCUCAAAUUUGAAAUCUGGCUCUCGGGCCCGAGUUGUAAUUUGUAGAGGAUGCUUUUGGUGAGGUGCCUUCCGAGUUCCCUGGAACGGGACGCCAUAGAGGGUGAGAGCCCCGUCUGGUUGGACGCCGAACCUCUGUAAAGCUCCUUCGACGAGUCGAGUAGUUUGGGAAUGCUGCUCUAAAUGGGAGGUAUAUGUCUUCUAAAGCUAAAUACCGGCCAGAGACCGAUAGCGCACAAGUAGAGUGAUCGAAAGAUGAAAAGAACUUUGAAAAGAGAGUUAAACAGUACGUGAAAUUGUUGAAAGGGAAGCGCUUGUGACCAGACUUGGGCUUGGUUGAUCAUCCGGGGUUCUCCCCGGUGCACUCUUCCGGCCCAGGCCAGCAUCAGUUCGCCCUGGGGGACAAAGGCUUCGGGAACGUGGCUCUCUCCGGGGAGUGUUA